This 571-nucleotide unclassified non-coding RNA is filed under the name Corollospora ramulosa. RNAcentral describes it as "Varicosporina ramulosa partial miscellaneous RNA". It matches the Rfam family "Eukaryotic large subunit ribosomal RNA", at positions 1 to 484 of the family's 3401-position model. Lineage: Eukaryota; Fungi; Ascomycota; Sordariomycetes; Microascales; Halosphaeriaceae. The record is from RNAcentral.
CUGUCGACCUCGGAUCAGGUAGGGUUACCCGCUGAACUAGCAUAUCGAAUAAGCGGAGGAAAAGAUCCAACAGGGAUUGCCCCAGUAACGGCUGAGCUGAAGCGGCAACACGCUCAAAGCUGAAAUCUGGCCCCGUCCGGGGUCCGAGUUGUAAUUUCGCAGAGGAUGACUUUCAGGCGAGGCGCCUUCCGACGUGUCCUGGUAACGGGCCGCCGGAGAGCGCGUGAGAGCCCCAGUACGGUAGGACGCCGAGCCGGUGUAAAGCUCCCUCGACGAGUCGAGUAGUUUGGGAAUGCUGCUCUAAACGGGAGGUAAACCCCUUCUAAACGCGUAAAUACCGGCCAGAGACCGAUAGCGCACAAGUAGAGUGAUCGAAAGAUGAAAAGCACUUUGAAAAGAGAGUCAAACAGCACGUGAAAUUGUUGAAAGGGAAGCGCUUGUGGCCAGACAUUGCGCCCCAGGCAGCUCAGCCGUCCCUCGCGGGCGGCGCACACUGCCGGCACAGCCCAGCACGCUCGAAGCAACGGCGCCGGCAGGUCGAGAACAGGUUCGCAGUGGUUUUGGAGUUCAG